GCUUAAGCGCGCGACCUAUACCC
This 23-nucleotide non-coding RNA is filed under the name Arabidopsis thaliana (thale cress). The record is from RNAcentral. Lineage: Eukaryota; Viridiplantae; Streptophyta; Magnoliopsida; Brassicales; Brassicaceae.